RNAcentral lists this unclassified non-coding RNA (220 nucleotides) under plant metagenome. RNAcentral's name for it is "partial contains small subunit ribosomal RNA, internal transcribed spacer 1, and 5.8S ribosomal RNA". The record is from RNAcentral.
UUUCCGUAGGUGAACCUGCGGAAGGAUCAUUACAGAGUUCUUGCCCUCACGGGUAGAUCUCCCACCCUUGACUAUUUAUACCUUAGUUGCUUUGGCAGGCCGUGGAAACACCAUGGGCUCCAGCUUAUGCGUGCCUGCAAGAGGAAACAAACUCUGUUUUUAGUGAUGUCUGAGUACUAUAUAAUAGUUAAAACUUUCAACAACGGAUCUCUUGGUUCUC